This 250-nucleotide ribosomal RNA is filed under the name uncultured bacterium. RNAcentral describes it as "partial 16S ribosomal RNA". It matches the Rfam family "Bacterial small subunit ribosomal RNA", at positions 524 to 773 of the family's 1533-position model. The record is from RNAcentral.
UACGGAGGGGGUUAGCGUUGUUCGGAAUGACUGGGCGUAAAGCGCGCGUAGGCGGGCAUUUAAGUCGGGGGUGAAAUCCCGGGGCUCAACCCCGGAAUGGCCUUCGAUACUGGGUGCCUAGAGUUCGAGAGAGGUGAGUGGAAUUCCGAGUGUAGAGGUGAAAUUCGUAGAUAUUCGGAGGAACACCAGUGGCGAAGGCGGCUCACUGGCUCGACACUGACGCUGAGGUGCGAAAGCGUGGGGAGCAAAC